Cuculus canorus (common cuckoo) is the source of this 495-nucleotide long non-coding RNA. RefSeq lists it as uncharacterized. The record is from RefSeq and is a predicted model, not a curated record. The transcript is spliced from 3 exons. Lineage: Eukaryota; Metazoa; Chordata; Aves; Cuculiformes; Cuculidae.
CCGCCAGAAAUAUUUUUAUUGAAGGGAGGGGGGGGGAAAAAAGAGUAUAAGGAGAAAGAAGAAAAAAAAAAGAAAUAAUUUACCGCAGCCAUCUUUGUUUUAUGCCGAAAUCUUCCUCUUUUGGGCCCCCCCCCCCUCCAAAACGCCGGGAAUACACAAAUAUUGUUCAUUUCGGCAUCUGAGGGGGAUUAGAAAGAGAGAGCAAAUCGACCCUCAAAGCAAAAAACCCCCCCUUCAAAAACAAACCCCCCCCCCCAAAAAAAAAAAUGAGCGGAAUUGGGAUUAUCGCUCCGCUCGGGCUUUAGCGGCGACGCAAAAAAGGGGGGGAAAAAGGCGUUUUCUCCUGGUUUUGGACUCUUCGCCUUCUAAAGCCCCGCCAUGGCUUCCCCUCUGAGGGAGGACGAGGAAGAGGAGGAGGAGAUGGUGGUGUCGGAGGGGGACGAAGACGACGAGGAAGAGGAGGAGGAAGAAGAAGACGACGAAGAUGAAGACGCC